RNAcentral lists this ribosomal RNA (426 nucleotides) under uncultured bacterium. RNAcentral describes it as "bacterial SSU rRNA". It matches the Rfam family "Bacterial small subunit ribosomal RNA", at positions 29 to 501 of the family's 1533-position model. The record is from RNAcentral.
AACGAACGCUGGCGGCAGGCUUAACACAUGCAAGUCGAACGCGUGUAGCAAUACACGAGUGGCGCACGGGUGAGUAACGCGUGGAUAUCUGCCUUUUGGUUCGGAAUAACCCCGGGAACUGGGGCUAAUACCGGAUGGUUCCUUCGGGAUAAAGAUUUAUCGCCAAAAGAUGAGUCCGCGUACGAUUAGCUAGUUGGUGAGGUAAUGGCUCACCAAGGCGACGAUCGUUAGCUGGUCUGAGAGGACGAUCAGCCACACUGGGACUGAGACACGGCCCAGACUCCUACGGGAGGCAGCAGUGGGGAAUAUUGGACAAUGGGGGCAACCCUGAUCCAGCCAUGCCGCGUGAGUGAUGAAGGCCUUCGGGUUGUAAAGCUCUUUUGGCGGGACGAUGAUGACGGUACCCGCAGAUAAGCCCCGGCUAAC